GGAUAUGAGGGUGGUCUGGCUGUGAUGUGUGUCACCCUCAUUGAUCACCAGGGUUGAUUCGACUGAUCUGGCUGGCUAGGCAGGUGUCCCCUUCCUCCCUCACUGUUCCAUGCAUGUUCUUCCUGAAGCUGCAUGCUCUGUCAAAGAGUAUGACCAUCCCCAAUAGUUACUUAUAUACCCUUCAGUCAAGGGUAUAUGAGUAACUGUGCUACUAGAAUGGCCAAAAGGCAUAUGAAAAACAGGCUCUUGUCAUAAGUGAAAUGCAAAUUAAACCACAAUUAAACCAAACCAGUUAGAAUGUCUAAGAU
Molecule: unclassified non-coding RNA, 308 nt
Organism: Tupaia belangeri (northern tree shrew)
Lineage: Eukaryota; Metazoa; Chordata; Mammalia; Scandentia; Tupaiidae
Gene: 7SK
Rfam family: 7SK RNA
About the family: 7SK was discovered as an abundant small nuclear RNA in the mid-70s but a possible function has only recently been suggested. Two independent studies have found that 7SK RNA binds the CDK9/cyclin T complex (known as elongation factor P-TEFb).
Source: Ensembl